Molecule: small nucleolar RNA, 107 nt
Organism: Zingiber officinale
Lineage: Eukaryota; Viridiplantae; Streptophyta; Magnoliopsida; Zingiberales; Zingiberaceae
Source: RefSeq, a predicted model, not a curated record
AACCCAUGAUGGGGGCAUUGCUGCUACAAUCCCUUUAAACCUAUCCCAUGCUUCGAACAGUGAUUCUCUAUCUAUUUAUGCAAAGCUCGUGAUUUGAUUUCUUAGAU